RNAcentral lists this ribosomal RNA (373 nucleotides) under uncultured organism. Its description in RNAcentral is "partial 16S ribosomal RNA". It matches the Rfam family "Bacterial small subunit ribosomal RNA", at positions 527 to 896 of the family's 1533-position model. The record is from RNAcentral.
GUAGGUGGCAAGCGUUGUCCGGAAUUAUUGGGCGUAAAGCGCGCGCAGGCGGUUCUUUAAGUCUGAUGUGAAAGCCCACGGUUCAACCGUGGAGGGUCAUUGGAAACUGGAGAACUUGAGUACAGAAGAGGAAAGCGGAAUUCCACGUGUAGCGGUGAAAUGCGUAGAGAUGUGGAGGAACACCAGUGGCGAAGGCGGCUUUCUGGUCUGUAACUGACGCUGAGGCGCGAAAGCGUGGGGAGCAAACAGGGAUUAGAUACCCUGGUAGUCCACGCCGUAAACGAUGAGUGCUAAGUGUUAGGGGGGUUUCCGCCCCCUUAGUGCUGCAGCUAACGCAUUAAGCACUCCGCCUGGGGAUACGGCCGCAAGGCUG